AUAGAUACCCCGGUAGUCCAUGCCGUAAACGUUGGGCACUAGGUGUGGGGCUCAUUCCACGAGUUCCGUGCCGCAGCAAACGCAUUAAGUGCCCCGCCUGGGGAGUACGGCCGCAAGGCUAAAACUCAAAGGAAUUGACGGGGGCCCGCACAAGCGGCAGAGCAUGCGGAUUAAUUCGAUGCAACGCGAAGAACCUUACCAAGGCUUGACAUGCACGGGAAGCCACCAGAGAUGGUGGUCUCUUUGGACACUCGUGCACAGGUGGUGCAUGGUUGUCGUCAGCUCGUGUCGUGAGAUGUUGGGUUAAGUCCCGCAACGAGCGCAACCCUCGUCCCAUGUUGCCAGCGGGUUAUGCCGGGGUACUCAUGGGAGACUGCCGGGGUCAACUCGGAGGAAGGUGGGGAUGACGUCAAAUCAUCAUGCCCCUUAUGUCUUGGGCUUCACGCAUGCUACAAUGGCCGGUACAAAGGGCUGCGAUACCGUAAGGUGGAGCGAAUCCCAAAAAGCCGGUCUCAGUUCGGAUUGGGGUC
This 530-nucleotide ribosomal RNA is filed under the name uncultured bacterium. Its description in RNAcentral is "bacterial SSU rRNA". It matches the Rfam family "Bacterial small subunit ribosomal RNA", at positions 778 to 1305 of the family's 1533-position model. The record is from RNAcentral.